This 497-nucleotide ribosomal RNA is filed under the name uncultured bacterium. Its description in RNAcentral is "partial 16S ribosomal RNA". It matches the Rfam family "Bacterial small subunit ribosomal RNA", at positions 28 to 507 of the family's 1533-position model. The record is from RNAcentral.
GAUGAACGCUGGCGGCGUGCCUAAUACAUGCAAGUCGAGCGAACAGACGAGGAGCUUGCUCCUCUGACGUUAGCGGCGGACGGGUGAGUAACACGUGGAUAACCUACCUAUAAGACUGGGAUAACUUCGGGAAACCAGAGCUAAUACCGGAUAAUAUAUUGAACCGCAUGGUUCAAUAGUGAAAGACGGUUUUGCUGUCACUUAUAGAUGGAUCCGCGCCGCAUUAGCUAGUUGGUAAGGUAACGGCUUACCAAGGCAACGAUGCGUAGCCGACCUGAGAGGGUGAUCGGCCACACUGGAACUGAGACACGGUCCAGACUCCUACGGGAGGAAGCAGUAGGGAAUCUUCCGCAAUGGGCGAAAGCUUGACGGAGCAACGCCGCGUGAGUGAUGAAGGUCUUCGGAUCGUAAAACUCUGUUAUUAGGGAAGAACAAAUGUGUAAGUAACUAUGCACGUCUUGACGGUACCUAAUCAGAAAGCCACGGCUAACUACGUG